Myotis lucifugus (little brown bat) is the source of this 1415-nucleotide long non-coding RNA. RefSeq lists it as uncharacterized. Lineage: Eukaryota; Metazoa; Chordata; Mammalia; Chiroptera; Vespertilionidae. The record is from RefSeq and is a predicted model, not a curated record. The transcript has 2 exons.
CCUUGGAUGAGGAUUAAAAACAACAAAAAAGAUCCCGUGUGAGUGUGGAGGUUUGUCCAAUAGUAAAUAAAUGUCUGUCAACAGUGGCUGCUGGCCCUACUAUGUGCCAUUUGCAUCUGAUAGGGACAGAUGUGGAAGAUGGGAAUGGGAACAUAUUGGCCCCCAUUCUAGCCUCUGAAGGCGAGUCCAUCCUCCCGGGAGGCAGGCGUUUUGUGCAGAGCUUCUGAAAUCAGCCAGCCCUUCUCUCGCCGCUGCUUCUGAAUCCAGAAGGCGCUUGUGUUUGUCCGAGUCGUUUGUCCUUCAGUGGACGCCUCCCCCUGGGUGCCUGCCAAAGCCCGCAGAGGCACAGCCCUGACUGUGUCGGGUCCCACGCCUCCCCUCCUCCCCAGUCCCUGGUCCCCACGCUGUCCCUCCCUCUCCCCGUCCUUGUUCAACUCAACAUCCAUUUCGUAUUUGUGCAGCUCUCAUUUCCCCUUCCGUGGGGUUCCGUUUGCCCCCCUACGGUGUAAAAGGGGAACCAGCCCCCCUUCCUCUGCCCAGGGGCCCCUCCCCGCUCAGCGUUUCUUUGGAGAAAGGAGUCGACCUUCUGUCCUCUUUCUGGUGCAUUUAGCCGUGGGCUUGGACGGAACACGGACCUGUGGGACGUGUGGGGAGGAGCGCUCGGAGUCGGAUUGGACACAGCGCACUGUGUGCUGUGACCCCCACGCAGGGGCACGGGGGAGGGGGGGGUGCCUGCCUGCACGCCGGGUCCCAGGUCACCUCUCCUCACAUCCAGGGCGUGGCCUGCAUCUAAAUGAGCACACCACUGACUUCAGAAGCCAUUAGGCUCCUGCAAGGGUGGCCUGAUCCAGUUGAUCCAGUUCCGUCCUGUGACCUGCUACCGGGAAUGGCAGCCUCAGGCCGGCGUUCGAUUGGAAAGAAGUCGGGAAGAAAGCCGCCCAGACCGAGAGCCAGGGGGCUGUGGAUGAUGGCGUUAGACCGGUGCUUUAUUUAGUGUGAGAAGAAAGCUAAUGCGUUCUGAUUGUGGAGCAACUGGGAAGGAGAGACAGAGAAACAGAAACGAGGAUGCGGCCUCACAAGGCAGCACUCAGAGCUGCUACUGAGUUCCUAAACCUGGUGCCAUGGCUUUGCUCAAGGUUGAGCCAUAAACAUCCCGGACCAGACCGGCUGUGACAGGGACUUGACUUCCUCCUGGUAGUUUUCGCCCCUUCAUUUGCAUAUUGGAACUAACCAAUCCCUGUGGACCUAGCCUGAUCCUUCAUUUGCAUGAAAGAAUUACCCGUGUGGUUUUGCCGUUAUAACUUCUCUGUCUUCUCCCCGGAGUGCUGUUGGGUUGCUCCCUACAUCUGAGCCUCCUGGGCUGCAGCUCCUUUUGCUCAAAUAAAUGCUUUUAUAUUCUUGUUUACCAUCUGAAA